CAUGCAGUCGAACGAUGAACUGGAGCUUGCUCCAGGGAUUAGUGGCGAACGGGUGAGUAACACGUGAGUAACCUGCCCUUGACUCUGGGAUAAGCGCUAGAAAUGGCGUCUAAUACCGGAUACGAGCUUCAGCCGCAUGGCUAGGAGUUGGAAAGAAUUUUGGUCAAGGAUGGACUCGCGGCCUAUCAGCUAGUUGGUGAGGUAAUGGCUCACCAAGGCGACGACGGGUAGCCGGCCUGAGAGGGUGACCGGCCACACUGGGACUGAGACACGGCCCAGACUCCUACGGGAGGCAGCAGUGGGGAAUAUUGCACAAUGGGCGAAAGCCUGAUGCAGCAACGCCGCGUGAGGGAUGACGGCCUUCGGGUUGUAAACCUCUUUUAGUAGGGAAGAAGCGAAAGUGACGGUACCUGCAGAAAAAGCACCGGCUAACUACGUGCCAGCAGCCGCGGUAAUACGUAGGGUGCAAGCGUUGUCCGGAAUUAUUGGGCGUAAAGAGCUCGUAGGCGGUUUGUCGCGUCUGCUGUGAAAUCUGGGGGCUCAACCCCCAGCCUGCAGUGGGUACGGGCAGACUAGAGUGCGGUAGGGGAGAUUGGAAUUCCUGGUGUAGCGGUGGAAUGCGCAGAUAUCAGGAGGAACACCGAUGGCGAAGGCAGAUCUCUGGGCCGUAACUGACGCUGAGGAGCGAAAGCAUGGGGAGCGAACAGGAUUAGAUACCCUGGUAGUCCAUGCCGUAAACGUUGGGAACUAGAUGUGGGGGCCAUUCCACGGUCUCCGUGUCGCAGCUAACGCAUUAAGUUCCCCGCCUGGGGAGUACGGCCGCAAGGCUAAAACUCAAAGGAAUUGACGGGGGCCCGCACAAGCGGCGGAGCAUGCGGAUUAAUUCGAUGCAACGCGAAGAACCUUACCAAGGCUUGACAUAUACCGGAAACGUCCAGAGAUGGUCGCCCCGCAAGGUCGGUAUACAGGUGGUGCAUGGUUGUCGUCAGCUCGUGUCGUGAGAUGUUGGGUUAAGUCCCGCAACGAGCGCAACCCUCGUUCUAUGUUGCCAGCACGUUAUGGUGGGAACUCAUAGGAGACUGCCGGGGUCAACUCGGAGGAAGGUGGGGAUGACGUCAAAUCAUCAUGCCCCUUAUGUCUUGGGCUUCACGCAUGCUACAAUGGCCGGUACAAAGGGCUGCGAUACCGUAAGGUGGAGCGAAUCCCAAAAAGCCGGUCUCAGUUCGGAUUGAGGUCUGCAACUCGACCUCAUGAAGUCGGAGUCGCUAGUAAUCGCAGAUCAGC
Molecule: ribosomal RNA, 1284 nt
Filed under: Frigoribacterium sp. TA_AF
Lineage: Bacteria; Bacillati; Actinomycetota; Actinomycetes; Micrococcales; Microbacteriaceae
Description: bacterial SSU rRNA
Rfam family: Bacterial small subunit ribosomal RNA
Source: RNAcentral